RNAcentral lists this ribosomal RNA (508 nucleotides) under uncultured beta proteobacterium. RNAcentral's name for it is "bacterial SSU rRNA". It matches the Rfam family "Bacterial small subunit ribosomal RNA", at positions 46 to 551 of the family's 1533-position model. The record is from RNAcentral. Lineage: Bacteria; Pseudomonadati; Pseudomonadota; Betaproteobacteria.
GCCUUACACAUGCAAGUCGAACGGUAACGCGGGGCAACCUGGCGACGAGUGGCGAACGGGUGAGUAAUGCAUCGGAACGUGCCCAACAGUGGGGGAUAGCCCGGCGAAAGCCGGAUUAAUACCGCAUACGACCUACGGGUGAAAGCGGGGGACCGCAAGGCCUCGCGCUGUUGGAGCGGCCGAUGUCAGAUUAGGUAGUUGGUGGGGUAAAGGCCUACCAAGCCUACGAUCUGUAGCUGGUCUGAGAGGACGACCAGCCACACUGGGACUGAGACACGGCCCAGACUCCUACGGGAGGCAGCAGUGGGGAAUUUUGGACAAUGGGGGCAACCCUGAUCCAGCCAUGCCGCGUGCGGGAAGAAGGCCUUCGGGUUGUAAACCGCUUUUGUCAGGGAAGAAAUCUCCUGGGCUAACACCUCGGGGGGAUGACGGUACCUGGAGAAUAAGCACCGGCUAACUACGUGCCAGCAGCCGCGGUAAUACGUAGGGUGCAAGCGUUAAUCGGAAU